UACAGAGGUGGCAAGCGUUGUUCGGAAUUACUGGGCGUAAAGGGCGCGUAGGCGGCCUCGUAAGUCCCGUGUGAAAUCCCUCGGCUCAACUGAGGAAUGGCACGGGAGACUGCUUGGCUUGAGUUCGGGAGAGGGAAGCGGAAUUCCGGGUGUAGCGGUGAAAUGCGUAGAUAUCCGGAGGAACACCGGUGGCGAAGGCGGCUUCCUGGACCGACACUGACGCUGAGGCGCGAAAGCUAGGGGAGCAAACGGG
Molecule: ribosomal RNA, 253 nt
Filed under: uncultured bacterium
Lineage: Bacteria
Description: partial 16S ribosomal RNA
Rfam family: Bacterial small subunit ribosomal RNA
Source: RNAcentral